UGUAUAUAAAUAUUCACGAGUAUAUACGCACACUUUUGUAAUCCUCUUCAUAUUUCGCUCGUAUUAUCUAUACUUUAUAGGUUACGUAAGUCGAACUGCUUGCGAGUGGAAGAUUCAUGAAGAAAAUGCCAGGAAACUUGCAAGCUCAAAGAAAAUUCGACAAGAUAGCAAAAACCAAAAAAAAAUCCUGCCAACAUUCCACAACCACAGAAUCGGCAACCUUAUUCUCUACCCCUCGGUGCCUUGCGUUUAAUCUUUUUCAGACCAUAAGUCGCUUUCCGUCCAGUGAUAUGGUUCUUUGAAACAUUAUAAUCAAUGCUUUCCUUCUGAAUCCAAGAAAUUACUGUUGAAAAUUUCCCAACUGGAAUUUUUUGGCAGCUGUUGUUUGAAUUUUCUAUCGACCGCUUGAGGAAUGUCAACUUGAGUUUCUCAUCGGUACUUGAAACAAGACCGUAACGGUUCCACAAAAAUGAUGCGAUCCCAACUUUCGCAAUGAAAUUUUGAUUUAAAAAAACAACCAAUAAUUUCAGUAUUUUUGAAUCUAAAUUAGCCACUCCGAUUAGCAUAGACUUUUGAACGAAUUUCAUUAACUUGAGGCUUGAAUAUAACGUUAUUGGUGCCACAUCAAUUAACAAACUGUGGUCCUGUUAAGCUUUUUUUCUAGAUAUAAAUUUUAAUAGCAAAUUUACUUUGAGUGAUAGAAAAGUUAAGUCGAUAUUGGACAAUAGAAGAGCCGGACCUUACGCAAUUUUGGAAAAUUACAUUCUAAGAAAAAUGCGUCCAAAUUUUUCGUUGGACGUCACUCGUCGCUCAUAGCACAACAAUAAAAUUUGCACGUCAAAAAAUAUGAAAAA
Venturia canescens is the source of this 854-nucleotide long non-coding RNA. RefSeq lists it as uncharacterized. The transcript has 2 exons. The record is from RefSeq and is a predicted model, not a curated record. NCBI's taxonomy places the organism in Eukaryota, Metazoa, Arthropoda, Insecta, Hymenoptera, Ichneumonidae.